This 825-nucleotide ribosomal RNA is filed under the name uncultured Bacillota bacterium. Its description in RNAcentral is "bacterial SSU rRNA". It matches the Rfam family "Bacterial small subunit ribosomal RNA", at positions 49 to 869 of the family's 1533-position model. Lineage: Bacteria; Bacillati; Bacillota. The record is from RNAcentral.
UAACACAUGCAAGUCGAACGGAGAAUGCGGGACUGAAGCCUUCGGGCAGAAGACCUGUAUUCUUAGUGGCGGACGGGUGAGUAACACGUGAGCAACCUGCCUUCAAGAGGGGGAUAGCACCUGGAAACGGGUGGUAAUACCGCAUAAGACCACAGCGUCGCAUGGUGCAGAGGUCAAAGGAGCAAUCCGCUUGAAGAUGGGCUCGCGUCCGAUUAGAUAGUUGGUGAGGUAACGGCUCACCAAGUCGACGAUCGGUAGCCGGACUGAGAGGUUGAACGGCCACAUUGGGACUGAGACACGGCCCAGACUCCUACGGGAGGCAGCAGUGGGGGAUAUUGCACAAUGGGCGAAAGCCUGAUGCAGCGACGCCGCGUGAGGGAAGACGGCCUUCGGGUUGUAAACCUCUGUCAUUCGGGACGAAUUAGAUGACGGUACCGAAGAAGGAAGCUCCGGCUAACUACGUGCCAGCAGCCGCGGUAAUACGUAGGGAGCGAGCGUUGUCCGGAAUUACUGGGUGUAAAGGGAGCGUAGGCGGGAAAGCAAGUUGGAAGUGAAAUGCAUGGGCUUAACCCAUGAGCUGCUUUCAAAACUGUUUUUCUUGAGUGAAGUAGAGGCAGGCGGAAUUCCUAGUGUAGCGGUGAAAUGCGUAGAUAUUAGGAGGAACACCAGUGGCGAAGGCGGCCUGCUGGGCUUUAACUGACGCUGAGGCUCGAAAGCGUGGGUAGCAAACAGGAUUAGAUACCCUGGUAGUCCACGCUGUAAACGAUGAUUACUAGGUGUGGGGGAUUUCGGUCCUCCGUGCCGGAGCAAACGCAAUAAGUAAUC